This 509-nucleotide ribosomal RNA is filed under the name uncultured bacterium. RNAcentral's name for it is "partial 16S ribosomal RNA". It matches the Rfam family "Bacterial small subunit ribosomal RNA", at positions 28 to 506 of the family's 1533-position model. The record is from RNAcentral.
GACGAACGCUGGCGGCGUGCUUAACACAUGCAAGUCGAACGAAGAGCGAUGGAAGCUUGCUUCUAUCAAUCUUAGUGGCGAACGGGUGAGUAACGCGUAAUCAACCUGCCCUUCAGAGGGGGACAACAGUUGGAAACGACUGCUAAUACCGCAUACGAUCUAAUCUCGGCAUCGAGGAUAGAUGAAAGGUGGCCUCUACAUGUAAGCUAUCACUGAAGGAGGGGAUUGCGUCUGAUUAGCUAGUUGGAGGGGUAACGGCCCACCAAGGCGAUGAUCAGUAGCCGGUCUGAGAGGGUGAACGGCCACAUUGGGACUGAGACACGGCCCAGACUCCUACGGGAGGCAGCAGUGGGGAAUCUUCCGCAAUGGGAGAAAGUCUGACGGAGCAACGCCGCGUGAGUGAUGACGGCCUUCGGGUUUUAAAGCUCUGUUAUUCGGGACGAAAGGCUUUCUUGGAAAAAGUGAAAGGGAUGGACGGUACCGAAAAAAAAAGCCACGGCUAACUACGU